ACGGAUUCGUUUGAAUCCGUAUACUUUUUGAUACGUUUAGGCCUUACGUCCACACUAACACGGAUUCGUUUGAAUCCGUAUACUUUUUGAUACGUUUAGGCCUUCCUUCCACACUAACAUGCGCUGGAUCCAGCAAAUCGAGAUAAUUUUGUAAACGCCGUCGAAAGUGAAUCAAAGUGAAUCCGUAUUACUUUGGUCCGUAGUGCCGGACGGCCGAAUCCGUAUCAAAAUGAAAACGAUGGCGUCAUAUCGCAGGCGCGCGCUGCUUUGAGCAUGCGCAUAUCAUAAUGACGUCACCCUGUGCCAGUCAGCGUUUUCAAACGUUUGAAUCCGUGUUAGUGUGGACGGCUGGAUCCAGGCGAACACGAUGCGAAAACGAUAGUGUGGACGCGAAUCAAGUGAUGCGUUUUCGGCGAAACGAAUCCGGGUACUUUUGAAUCCAGAAAACUGCUCCCAAGAAGCUUGCCGUUGCUCCCAAGAAGCUUGCCGUUAUUGCCUUGGAUAUAGCGUUAUAACGUUAAUUUUAACUUCGAAAUUAUCAAAGUCAAUCUACAGCUCCGCUCUUUCGAUAUUUACGGAGCCCUGCACCACGAAAAGGCGAAAGAAUUUACAGGAAUUUUAUAAUAACUUUAUUCACUAUUGUACUUUACAUAGAUUGAGUUUAUAAUUAAAGGGAAAAUAAGAAUAGUACAUUGAGUCUGGAAUCCGGAAUAACAAGUAGUUUUCGAGCCGGAUUCCAGUUAAAUAUUUUUUGUUGAUAGAACUGUGAGGAGAGGAGAAAUGAGUAAGGGAUUAGGAGAGUUCUAGAGUGAAAAAGUCGUGACCUAGUAUUGUUCAUCCAGUAAAUGACGCUUUAAAGCACUUUGAAAUGUGUACAGAUUAAGCUCUUUCAACUCAGUGGGGAGAUCAACCCAAAGAUCUGUUGCAAUAUAUUUUAAAGUUUGUUUACCGGAUUUUGUUCGUACUUUACUUUUGUAUAAAUUUUUCCUAGAGGCAUAUCUUGUAUUGUAACCAUGGAUUCCGCUUGCAUAAUUAAAAUAAUUAGAGAAGGAAUAAGGCAGAAGUCCCUUAUGCCAGAGGUGAAUGAAUUUCAGUGCUUGGAAUUUAAAGACAUGGUUUACUGUAAGAACAUCUAAUAGGUUGAGCAGGGGCAAUGCACUAUCUGUAUCAGUACCAAAAGUCUUUGCAAAGAAAAUAAGUCUUAUUGAGUGGU
Long non-coding RNA from Nematostella vectensis (starlet sea anemone), 1213 nucleotides. RefSeq lists it as uncharacterized. The record is from RefSeq and is a predicted model, not a curated record. The transcript has 2 exons. Lineage: Eukaryota; Metazoa; Cnidaria; Anthozoa; Actiniaria; Edwardsiidae.